UUUCCGUAGGUGAACCUGCGGAAGGAUCAUUAUUGUAUAACCGAGGUGCGAGGGCUGUCGCUGACCCGAAAGGACGUGCACGCCCGAGUGCCCUCACACACAUCCAUCUCACCCCUAUCUGCACCACCGCGUGGGUCCCCCUUUGGCUGGUUCGGGGGGGGGCUUACGUUUUCACAAAAACUUUGUAUGCAGUGUAGAAUGUAUUUUUUGUUUUUGCGAUCACGCAAUCAAUACAACUUUCAACAACGGAUCUCUUGGCUCUC
This 263-nucleotide unclassified non-coding RNA is filed under the name plant metagenome. RNAcentral describes it as "partial contains small subunit ribosomal RNA, internal transcribed spacer 1, and 5.8S ribosomal RNA". The record is from RNAcentral.